UACGUAGGGCGCAAGCGUUAUCCGGAAUUAUUGGGCGUAAAGAGCUCGUAGGCGGUUUGUCGCGUCUGCCGUUAAAGUCCGGGGCUCAACUCCGGAUCUGCGGUGGGUACGGGCAGACUAGAGUGAUGUAGGGGAGACUGGAAUUCCUGGUGUAGCGGUGAAAUGCGCAGAUAUCAGGAGGAACACCGAUGGCGAAGGCAGGUCUCUGGGCAUUAACUGACGCUGAGGAGCGAAAGUAUGGGGAGCGAACAGG
RNAcentral lists this ribosomal RNA (253 nucleotides) under uncultured bacterium. RNAcentral's name for it is "partial 16S ribosomal RNA". It matches the Rfam family "Bacterial small subunit ribosomal RNA", at positions 524 to 776 of the family's 1533-position model. The record is from RNAcentral.